GAUGAACGCUGGCGGCGUGCCUAAUACAUGCAAGUCGAGCGAACGGACGAGAAGCUUGCUUCUCUGAUGUUAGCGGCGGACGGGUGAGUAACACGUGGAUAACCUACCUAUAAGACUGGGAUAACUUCGGGAAACCGGAGCUAAUACCGGAUAAUAUUUUGAACCGCAUGGUUCAAAAGUGAGAGACGGUCUUGCUGUCAGUUCUAGAUGGAUCUGCGCUGCAUUAGCUAGUUGGUAAGGUAACGGCUUACCAAGGCAACGAUGCAUAGCCGACCUGAGAGGGUGAGCGGCCACACUGGAACUGAGACGCGGUCCAGACUCCUACGAGAGGCAGCAGUAGGGAAUCUUCCGCAAUGGGCGAAAGCCUGACGGAGCAACGCCGCGUGAGUGAUGAAGGUCUUCGGAUCGUAAAACUCUGUUAUUAGGGAAGAACAUAUGUGUAAGUAACUGUGCACAUCUUGACGGUACCUAAUCAGAAAGCCACGGCUAACUACGUG
This 497-nucleotide ribosomal RNA is filed under the name uncultured bacterium. RNAcentral describes it as "partial 16S ribosomal RNA". It matches the Rfam family "Bacterial small subunit ribosomal RNA", at positions 28 to 507 of the family's 1533-position model. The record is from RNAcentral.